GCGAGCCCACCUCCCACCCGUGUUUACUGUACCUUAGUUGCUUCGGCGGGCCCGCCAUUCAUGGCCGCCGGGGGCUCUCAGCCCCGGGCCCGCGCCCGCCGGAGACACCACGAACUCUGUCUGAUCUAGUGAAGUCUGAGUUGAUUGUAUCGCAAUCAGUUAAAACUUUCAACAAUGGAUCUCUUGGUUCCGGCAUCGAUGAAGAACGCAGCGAAAUGCGAUAACUAGUGUGAAUUGCAGAAUUCCGUGAAUCAUCGAGUCUUUGAACGCACAUUGCGCCCCCUGGUAUUCCGGGGGGCAUGCCUGUCCGAGCGUCAUUGCUGCCCAUCAAGCACGGCUUGUGUGUUGGGUCGUCGUCCCCUCUCCGGGGGGGACGGGCCCCAAAGGCAGCGGCGGCACCGCGUCCGAUCCUCGAGCGUAUGGGGCUUUGUCACCCGCUCUGUAGGCCCGGCCGGCGCUUGCCGAACGCAAAUCAAUCUUUUUCCAGGUUGACCUCGGAUCAGGUAGGGAUACCCGCUGAACUUAAGCAUAUCAAUAAGCGGAGGAA
Molecule: ribosomal RNA, 547 nt
Filed under: Aspergillus flavus
Lineage: Eukaryota; Fungi; Ascomycota; Eurotiomycetes; Eurotiales; Aspergillaceae
Description: eukaryotic LSU rRNA
Rfam family: 5.8S ribosomal RNA (bases 164-317)
Source: RNAcentral